ACGCCUUAUACAUGCAAGUCGAACGAAGUAGCAAUACUUAGUGGCAGACGGGUGAGUAACAUGUAGGUAUCUUCCCUUUGGUGAGGAAUAACACGAGGAAACUUGUGCUAAUACCUCAUAAGUCUUUACGGAGAAAGCUUUAUGCGCCGAAGGAUGAGCCUGCACUUGAUUAGUUUGUUGGUGGGGUAAUGGCCUACCAAGACUUUGAUCUAUAGCUGAUCUGAGAGGAUGAUCAGCCACAUUGGGACUGAGACACGGCCCAAACUCCUACGGGAGGCAGCAGUAGGGAAUAUUGCACAAUGGAGGAAACUCUGAUGCAGCGAUGCCGCGUGAGUGAAGAAGGCCUUUGGGUUGUAAAGCUCUUUCGUCGGGGAAGAAAAUGACUGUACCCGAAUAAGAAGGUCCGGCUAACUUCGUGCCAGCAGCCGCGGUAAUACGAAGGGACCUAGCGUAGUUCGGAAUUACUGGGCUUAAAGAGUUCGUAGGUGGUUAAAAAAGUUGGUGGUGAAAUCCCAGAGCUUAACUCUGGAACUGCCAUCAAAACUUUUUAGCUAGAGUAUGAUAGAGGAAAGCAGAAUUUCUAGUGUAGAGGUGAAAUUCGUAGAUAUUAGAAAGAAUACCAAUUGCGAAGGCAGCUUUCUGGAUCAUUACUGACGCUGAGGAACGAAAGCAUGGGUAGCGAAGAGGAUUAGAUACCCUCGUAGUCCAUGCCGUAAACGAUGUGUGUUAGACGUUGGAAAUUUAUUUUCAGUGUCGCAGCGAAAGCAUUAAACACACCGCCUGGGGAGU
This 789-nucleotide ribosomal RNA is filed under the name uncultured Pelagibacteraceae bacterium. RNAcentral's name for it is "bacterial SSU rRNA". It matches the Rfam family "Bacterial small subunit ribosomal RNA", at positions 44 to 881 of the family's 1533-position model. The record is from RNAcentral. Lineage: Bacteria; Pseudomonadati; Pseudomonadota; Alphaproteobacteria; Candidatus Pelagibacterales; Candidatus Pelagibacteraceae.